AGUAACUCUAGAGCUAAUACAUGCAUCAAUCCCUGACUUCCUGGAAGGGGUGUACUUAUUAGAUGGAAACCAGUGCGGGUUCGCCCGGAUUAUGGUGAUUCAUAAUAAUUUUCGGAUCGAUCAAUUGAUCGAUGCAUCAUUCAAGUUUCUGCCCUAUCAGCUUUGGAUGGUAGGGUAUUGGCCUACCAUGGCAUUAACGGGUAACGGAGAAUUAGGGUUCGAUUCCGGAGAGGGCGCCUGAGAAACGGCGACCAGUUCCAAGGAAGGCAGCAGGCGCGUAAAUCACCCAAUCCUGACACAGGGAGGUAGUGACAAUAAAUAACAAUGUCGGGCCUUCGGGUUUGACAAUUGGAAUGAGAACAAUUUAAAUCCCUUAUCGAGGAUCAAUUGGAGGGCAAGUCUGGUGCCAGCAGCCGCGGUAAUUCCAGCUCCAAUAGCGUAUACUAAAGUUGUUGCAGUUAAAAAGCUCGUAGUUGAAUUUCUGGUUUCGGAGUGCGGUCUGCCCCGUGGGGUAAGUAUCAGCGCUCGGGAGCCAUCCUCGAGGAGAACAUGCCUGUGAUUGAGUUCAUGGUAUGGGAGCCUCGUCUUUUACUGUGAGCAAACUAGAGUGUUCAAAGCAGGCUUACGCCGUUGAAUACAUUAGCAUGGAAUAAUAAAAUAGGACUCUGGUCUAUUUUGUUGGUUAGUACUCCAGGGUAAUGAUUAAUAGGGACAGUUGGGGGUAUUCGUAUUC
RNAcentral lists this ribosomal RNA (733 nucleotides) under uncultured eukaryote. RNAcentral's name for it is "SSU rRNA". It matches the Rfam family "Eukaryotic small subunit ribosomal RNA", at positions 151 to 899 of the family's 1831-position model. The record is from RNAcentral.